AAAAAAAAAUUACAAACAACCACAGUCCUCUAUUGAGGAAUCCAUCGGGAAAAAAAAAAAAGAAACAGAAAAGGGCCCGUUGAGGAUGAAAGGGGCUUUCAGUCAUGGGAUUUUUUUUUUUUUGUUUUUAUGAGUGACUUGGGAGAGUAUUUUUAAGAUUUUGGGAAAGGAGAGAAAAGAGCUAUUUUUUUGGGCGGUGGGAACAAUGGCGCCGUAUGGAGGUCAGCGCGGGCGAGGAGACUUUUGGAUGAUCUGAACCGGAAGAAAGAAAGGAUGGAAGGGGAGAAACAACAUACUUUGGUUUCAGGACGACCGGACGGCGAGAAGAGUGUGAACGGCGGUUUAAAAUUUCGGGUUAAAGUUUCAGAUCUAAGCUAUUAUGAGGUGAUUUGCGAAAAACAGAGGCUGAAUCUAAGACAAGAAGGAAGAGAGGAGUCCACGGCUGAAAUUUUGGAGUCAACUGACGCCGAACGGCUGCGGUGAACGGCGGCCGGGUCGGCUACCGUCGUCGGGAUCUGGGUUAGGGGAGAGUGGCCGGGUGUGUCUUUUUGGAGAGAAAAUGUUGCAUUUGAUGCAAAAAACGGAAAACUCAGGUUUGAUGCUCCUGACCGGACCCUUCUUACAAUGUUUGAAUUUAGUCAAACGUGAUCAAUGAAUAUCGAAUUGUCUAAUGAUGUUGUAGAUAGGGUAUGUGCCCACUGACAUUCUUUAUUACCUUGUAUAUUUUAUCUAAUUACAGGUAUGCACAGUACAAGAGAAUAUUAGAGGAAAUUGACAAGUUGAAGGUGGUUUGGAGGCAUUUUCUCUUGGCUAUGAGAAGCUUGACUCACAUACAGG
Molecule: long non-coding RNA, 837 nt
Filed under: Durio zibethinus
Lineage: Eukaryota; Viridiplantae; Streptophyta; Magnoliopsida; Malvales; Malvaceae
Description: long non-coding RNA (DZIB_LNC000187)
Source: RNAcentral